Molecule: transfer RNA, 71 nt
Filed under: Stegodyphus mimosarum
Lineage: Eukaryota; Metazoa; Arthropoda; Arachnida; Araneae; Eresidae
Rfam family: tRNA
About the family: Transfer RNA (tRNA) molecules are approximately 80 nucleotides in length.
Source: Rfam by way of RNAcentral
GCCAUCGUGGUGUAACAGUAGCACACUUGGCACGUAUUCCAAAGGUUCAGGUUCGAGUCCCGGCGAGGGCU